This 459-nucleotide ribosomal RNA is filed under the name uncultured bacterium. RNAcentral describes it as "partial 16S ribosomal RNA". It matches the Rfam family "Bacterial small subunit ribosomal RNA", at positions 338 to 795 of the family's 1533-position model. The record is from RNAcentral.
CCUACGGGAGGCAGCAGUGAGGAAUAUUGGUCAAUGGGCGGAAGCCUGAACCAGCCAAGUAGCGUGCGGGAUGAAGGCCCUACGGGUCGUAAACCGCUUUUGCACGGUGAUAACACCCUCCACUUGUGGAGGUCUGCAGGUACCGUGCGAAUAAGGGCCGGCUAAUUCCGUGCCAGCAGCCGCGGUAAUACGGAAGGCCCGAGCGUUAUCCGGAUUCAUUGGGCUUAAAGGGAGCGUAGGCGGGCGUUCAAGUCAGCUGUAAAAUCGCGCGGCUCAACCGCGCCCCGCAGUUGAAACUGGACGCAUUGAGUUCACAACAGGCAGGCGGAAUGCGGGGUGUAGCGGUGAAAUGCAUAGAUAGCACGAGGAACCCCGAUUGCGAAGGCAGCCUGCCGGGGUGCGACUGACGCUGAGGCUCGAAGGUGCGGGUAUCAAACAGGAUUAGAUACCCGGGUAGUC